UGGGGAAUUUUGGACAAUGGACGCAAGUCUGAUCCAGCCAUGCCGCGUGCGGGAAGAAGGCCUUCGGGUUGUAAACCGCUUUUGUCAGGGAAGAAACGAGUUUCUCUAUACAGAGACUUAAUGACGGUACCUGAAGAAUAAGCACCGGCUAACUCUGUGCCAGCAGCCGCGGUAAUACAGAGGGUGCAAGCGUUAAUCGGAAUUACUGGGCGUAAAGCGCGCGUAGGUGGUUAGUUAAGUUGGAUGUGAAAUCCCCGGGCUCAACCUGGGAACUGCCUUUGUGACUGCAUAGCUAGAGUACGGUAGAGGGGGAUGGAAUUCCGCGUGUAGCAGUGAAAUGCGUAGAUACGCGGAGGAACACCGAUGGCGAAGGCAAUCCCCUGGACCUGUACUGACGCUCAUGCACGAAAGCGUGGGGAGCAAACA
Molecule: ribosomal RNA, 426 nt
Filed under: uncultured bacterium
Lineage: Bacteria
Description: bacterial SSU rRNA
Rfam family: Bacterial small subunit ribosomal RNA
Source: RNAcentral